Molecule: ribosomal RNA, 893 nt
Filed under: Escherichia coli
Lineage: Bacteria; Pseudomonadati; Pseudomonadota; Gammaproteobacteria; Enterobacterales; Enterobacteriaceae
Description: partial 23S ribosomal RNA
Rfam family: Bacterial large subunit ribosomal RNA
Source: RNAcentral
GCUGUGAAGAUGCAGUGUACCCGCGGCAAGACGGAAAGACCCCGUGAACCUUUACUAUAGCUUGACACUGAACAUUGAGCCUUGAUGUGUAGGAUAGGUGGGAGGCUUUGAAGUGUGGACGCCAGUCUGCAUGGAGCCGACCUUGAAAUACCACCCUUUAAUGUUUGAUGUUCUAACGUUGGCCCGUAAUCCGGGUUGCGGACAGUGUCUGGUGGGUAGUUUGACUGGGGCGGUCUCCUCCUAAAGAGUAACGGAGGAGCACGAAGGUUGGCUAAUCCUGGUCGGACAUCAGGAGGUUAGUGCAAUGGCAUAAGCCAGCUUGACUGCGAGCGUGACGGCGCGAGCAGGUGCGAAAGCAGGUCAUAGUGAUCCGGUGGUUCUGAAUGGAAGGGCCAUCGCUCAACGGAUAAAAGGUACUCCGGGGAUAACAGGCUGAUACCGCCCAAGAGUUCAUAUCGACGGCGGUGUUUGGCACCUCGAUGUCGGCUCAUCACAUCCUGGGGCUGAAGUAGGUCCCAAGGGUAUGGCUGUUCGCCAUUUAAAGUGGUACGCGAGCUGGGUUUAGAACGUCGUGAGACAGUUCGGUCCCUAUCUGCCGUGGGCGCUGGAGAACUGAGGGGGGCUGCUCCUAGUACGAGAGGACCGGAGUGGACGCAUCACUGGUGUUCGGGUUGUCAUGCCAAUGGCACUGCCCGGUAGCUAAAUGCGGAAGAGAUAAGUGCUGAAAGCAUCUAAGCACGAAACUUGCCCCGAGAUGAGUUCUCCCUGACUCCUUGAGAGUCCUGAAGGAACGUUGAAGACGACGACGUUGAUAGGCCGGGUGUGUAAGCGCAGCGAUGCGUUGAGCUAACCGGUACUAAUGAACCGUGAGGCUUAACCUUACAACGCCGAAG